This 443-nucleotide ribosomal RNA is filed under the name uncultured bacterium. RNAcentral describes it as "partial 16S ribosomal RNA". It matches the Rfam family "Bacterial small subunit ribosomal RNA", at positions 338 to 795 of the family's 1533-position model. The record is from RNAcentral.
CCUACGGGAGGCAGCAGUGGGGGAUAUUGGACAAUGGGGGGAACCCUGAUCCAGCGACGCCGCGUGAGUGAAGAAGUAUUUCGGUAUGUAAAGCUCUGUCAGCAGGGAAGAAAGUAAUGACGGUACCUGACCAAGCAGCCCCGGCUAACUACGUGCCAGCAGCCGCGGUAAUACGUAGGGGGCAAGCGUUAUCCGGAAGUACUGGGUGUAAAGGGAGCGUAGACGGCUGUGCAAGUCUGGAGUGAAAGGCGGGGGCCCAACCACCGGACUGUUCUGGAAACUGUAUGGCUGGAGUGCAGGAGAGGUAGGCGGAAUUCCUGGUGUAGGGGUGAAAUGCGUAGAUAUUAAGAGGAACACUAGUGGCGAAGGCGGCUUACUAGACUGUAACUGACGUUGAGGCUCGAAAGCGUGGGGAGCAAACAGGAUUAGAUACCCGUGUAGUC